Molecule: long non-coding RNA, 234 nt
Filed under: Elaeis guineensis (African oil palm)
Lineage: Eukaryota; Viridiplantae; Streptophyta; Magnoliopsida; Arecales; Arecaceae
Description: long non-coding RNA (EGUI_LNC014891)
Source: RNAcentral
GUGUGGGUAGUUGAUAUUUUCGCAAGUCUUUAAGCUUAUUAUAGUCCUUAUAAAUUUUCAAAUAUACUUGUAGAUAGUUGGUAUUAUCAAACUCCAUACCAACUCUCAAAGAAUAAGAAUCAUUAAGCAUCUAAAGCUUAGUACCAAAAAUUUGAUACCCUUGGUUAUUCUUCAUACUUUUUGUAAUUGGGGUGUAACAUAAAAAUCAAUUCAAUGAAUCAAUCUAGAUCAACU